Molecule: long non-coding RNA, 1920 nt
Organism: Gasterosteus aculeatus aculeatus (three-spined stickleback)
Lineage: Eukaryota; Metazoa; Chordata; Actinopteri; Perciformes; Gasterosteidae
Source: Ensembl
GUCAGUUUCUUUUCCUUCCAGCUGCUGUGUGUUUCUCACAUUAACUCUCAGAAUCUCUCUGCAGGUGACAAAGAAGCUCGCGGGUAUCGCCUCCGACACGGCCGCCUGGGCUACCAACGUCGGCAAUGAGCACGGGCAGGUCCUCAUGAGCGUCCUCACCUCCACCGAGAGAGCGCCGGGGGCCUGUCCGGGAUGGCGGCCGGCUUGAUGAGGCGGUACCGACUCGCCGGGGUACCUCCCCCCCAGCUGAUCUACGUGGACCGCGACUGCUGACAGCUGUCUUGUUUCAGGAGUGGGAGCAUCUCGUGGUGAGACUGGACAUCUGGCACCUGAUGCGACGCUUCGCAUCAGGUGUCAACACCGAGAGCCACGAGCUGUACCCCACCUUCAUGAGGCAGCUGUCUAACUGCAUCUUUGAGGUGGACGCCGGAGAUGCACGCCGUCUCGCAGAGGCUAAGCGGUCCCAGCUGGAGGGGAAGCACGGGAUGGUUGGACUGACGGACGCCGCGGUGAACCAGAGGAUCUCCAAGGAGGAGUGGAGGCUCCACGUCCGCCGCAGGACACGGGGGCCUGAGGAAUCGGCCCUCCUCAUCCAGGAGCUCCUCGACACCUUCGGUGGACCGGCAGGACGCAACAACCUGGGCAUCCCGUUGCUCAACGCUCUCCGCAUCCAGGAAAUAUGGAGUACGCAGAGGACCCACCUCAGCUGCAUCCAGGACCCGCCAGGUGUGCAGCUGUACACCCAGACGGGCCGGCUGACCAAGGGAGGAGUCAGCCUGCCCGUAUAUCGCUGCGCGAGGGGCUCCACCUCUCUGGAGUCCUUCCACCUCCACCUUAACCGGUUCAUCCCAGGGACCCGGGCCAGCGCCAAGCACUUCCAGGCGUUCCUGGUGGAUGGACUGGUGAGGUGGAACGAGGACCGCGCAGCGGCAGCUGCACCACCACCGGCUGCAGACGAGGGACGGCUGGGACCUCUGCACUCCUACAGUGGCCACCUCAAGCACGUCCUUAACCAGAAGAGCCAAAGAGUGCUUGGUCUUCAGAUGGUUAAGGACUUCACCGAGCCGGCUGAGUACACAGGGGAGCUCAUCGGAGUGGAGUACCUGUACCAGCAGACCGGCAAAGUGCUUGAGGACGUCAGCCUGGACCCUGACACUCCGGACGAGGCUCCUGCCAUCGAGGCGCUGGAGGAGGAUGAGGGCAUCGAGGAAGACGUAGAGGACCCUACCGUCUUCGGGCCUGAUACUCCGUCCUCCAGCGUGGCAGCAGCCCGGUCAGGUGAUCCAGCUGACGCACCGUUUGAGCCAUCCCGUUCGGGUCAAGUUGCCCCUCCUGAGGCCCCAGAGGUUCAGGACCCUGAUCCCCAGCAGCCCUCCUCAGACUCUGAAGAGGACAUCCAGGGUCCUGAUGGCCAGCCCGGGUACCGGCACAUCCUGAAGCUGGCCCAGGCGCUGGUGGAAGGGAGGAACCUUCUGGGGCUGUCUGAGAAUAGGGUAGACCGACUCAUCCUGCUUUGGACUCGCUUGGCGGAGCAGGACAAGCGGCGAGUCGACUACCCUCCCAGAUACCGGGAGAGGCAACCAAAGGGGCGGUUCAAGGCAGCGAAGGGGAAGAACACCUCCUGUGCUGGAAAGGAGAGUCUCCAACGCUGCCUCCUCGGGGUCAACUCGGGGCCUUCCACCUGGCCCAGCGCCAGUCGCCUGGUGGAGGCCAUUUGCACGCUGCUCUGCAAGCUCCACCCGGCGGCCACGCGGGUCGGCGGGAUGCACAAGCCCCGGCUCAGCCUCAUCCUCGCUGACUAUGUGUCCAUCAGAGAGGUAGUGCUGAGCACCCCGAGGCUGAUGGCUCAGACGGACAUCCAGCUCUUUGAGCUGAACCACCGGACCCUCAGCCAGUGGUUCUCUCGCAAGCAGAGGGGGG